UACGAAGGGGGCUAGCGUUGUUCGGAAUUACUGGGCGUAAAGAGCGUGUAGGCGGCCAGGUAGGUCUGCUGUGAAAACUCGAGGCUCAACCUCGAGACGUCGGCGGAAACCAUCUGGCUAGAGUCCGGAAGAGGAGAGUGGAAUUCCUGGUGUAGCGGUGAAAUGCGCAGAUAUCAGGAGGAACACCGAUGGCGAAGGCAGGUCUCUGGGCUGACACUGACGCUCAUGCACGAAAGCGUGGGGAGCAAACAGG
This 253-nucleotide ribosomal RNA is filed under the name uncultured bacterium. Its description in RNAcentral is "partial 16S ribosomal RNA". It matches the Rfam family "Bacterial small subunit ribosomal RNA", at positions 524 to 776 of the family's 1533-position model. The record is from RNAcentral.